This 250-nucleotide ribosomal RNA is filed under the name uncultured bacterium. RNAcentral describes it as "partial 16S ribosomal RNA". It matches the Rfam family "Bacterial small subunit ribosomal RNA", at positions 524 to 773 of the family's 1533-position model. The record is from RNAcentral.
UACGGAGGAUGCGAGCGUUAUCCGGAUUUAUUGGGUUUAAAGGGUGCGUAGGUGGUUUUUUAAGUCAGUUGUGAAAGUUUGCGGCUCAACCGUAAAAUUGCAAUUGAAACUGAAAGACUUGAGUGUAUUUGAGGUGGGCGGAAUUCGUAGUGUAGCGGUGAAAUGCUUAGAUAUUACGAAGAACUCCGAUUGCGUAGGCAGCUCACUAAACUACAACUGACACUGAGGCACGAAAGUGUGGGUAUCAAAC